This 317-nucleotide long non-coding RNA is filed under the name Gossypium raimondii (Peruvian cotton). RNAcentral describes it as "long non-coding RNA (GRAI_LNC002654)". The record is from RNAcentral. Lineage: Eukaryota; Viridiplantae; Streptophyta; Magnoliopsida; Malvales; Malvaceae.
AAAAAAAUGGAAACUUACAGUGCAACAUAAUUUCAAACUUGCACAAAGUGGAAAAGAUGAAGAAAGAUAACAAAAACGGAAGGGAAAUUCAAAGGAAAUUCAGCAGCAAGGAUUUAUUAUUUAGAAAAAAGAGGAAAACUGAAAAUUUAGAGUGGGAGAGAAAAAAGAAAAUGUCGGAAAUGUGGAAAAGAGUUUGAAAUUUGAAAAAAAAACUAAACAAAAAGAUAAUGCCUAAAAAUCUGGCAGCUCAUCUCCUUAAUUCUCUCCCUAACAUCCCACAACAACUCCAAUACUCGAAAUUUCAAUUUGACUAGGAC